GAUGAAGAACGUAGCGAAAUGCGAUACUUGGUGUGAAUUGCAGAAUCCCGUGAACCAUCGAGUCUUUGAACACAAGUUGCGCCCGAAGCCAUUAGGCCGAGGGCACGCCUGCCUGGGCGUCACACGUCGUUGCCCCCCCAUCUACUCCUUCGGGAUUGCGGGGCGGAUGAUGGCCUCCCGUGCGCCUCGUCGCGCGGUUGGCAUAAAUGCCAAGUCCUCGGCGACGCACGCCACGACAAUCGGUGGUUGCGAAACCUCGGUUGCCCGUCGUGUGCGGUCGUCGCGCAUCGAGGGCUCGAAAAAAUUGCCGGGCUCCGGCUCGGCUUUCAACGCGACCCCAGGUCAGGCGGGGUUACCCGCUGAAUUUAAGCAUAUCAAUAAGCGGAGGA
Molecule: unclassified non-coding RNA, 389 nt
Filed under: soil metagenome
Description: partial contains 5.8S ribosomal RNA, internal transcribed spacer 2, and large subunit ribosomal RNA
Rfam family: 5.8S ribosomal RNA (bases 1-122)
Source: RNAcentral